AGCGAACGCUGGCGGCAGGCUUAACACAUGCAAGUCGAACGCCCGUAGCAAUACGGGAGUGGCAGACGGGAGAGUAACACGUGGGAACGUGCCCUUCAGUUCGGAACAACCCAGGGAAACUUGGGCUAAUACCGGAUACGUCCGUAAGGAGAAAGAUUUAUCGCUGAAGGAUCGGCCCGCGUCUGAUUAGCUAGUUGGUGGGGUAAUGGCCCACCAAGGCGACGAUCAGUAGCUGGUCUGAGAGGAUGAUCAGCCUCACUGGGACUGAGA
RNAcentral lists this ribosomal RNA (270 nucleotides) under uncultured bacterium. RNAcentral's name for it is "partial 16S ribosomal RNA". It matches the Rfam family "Bacterial small subunit ribosomal RNA", at positions 29 to 324 of the family's 1533-position model. The record is from RNAcentral.